This 348-nucleotide transfer-messenger RNA is filed under the name Hydrogenoanaerobacterium saccharovorans. Its description in RNAcentral is "Standard tmRNA". It matches the Rfam family "transfer-messenger RNA". Rfam says of the family: Bacterial tmRNA, also known as 10Sa RNA or SsrA, is named for its dual tRNA and mRNA-like properties. Its role is to liberate the mRNA from a stalled ribosome. The record is from Rfam by way of RNAcentral. Lineage: Bacteria; Bacillati; Bacillota; Clostridia; Eubacteriales; Oscillospiraceae.
GGGGGCGUAAAGGUUUCGACGGGGAUUAUGAAGUACGAGAAGCGAGUAGAGGCACACAACCUCUUUAAAAUGUGUAAAAUAAAUAUAAACGCUAACUCUAACGAAUUAGUAGCUGCUUAAUUAAGCAGCCGUCUUACUGAGAAGUACCACGGUCUCAGAUAAGGCGUCGAUUAGUGGUGAACGAUCUGUUUGAGCGCCUCGUAAAACAGAUUGUAUCAGGGGCUACCAACACGCUUGCAGCCUGUUUAUCGGCGGCUAGCUGAGGGAAUUUGAAACGAUAAACUGCACUCGGAGAUGCUUGUAUGGAUUGGUUUUCGGACACGGGUUCAAUUCCCGUCGCCUCCACCA